GCCUGGCUGGCUCAGUUGGUGGAGUGUGCGACUCUUGAUCUCAGGGUUGUGGGUUCAAGCUUCAUGUUGGGUG
RNAcentral lists this transfer RNA (73 nucleotides) under Felis catus (domestic cat). It matches the Rfam family "tRNA". Rfam says of the family: Transfer RNA (tRNA) molecules are approximately 80 nucleotides in length. Their secondary structure includes four short double-helical elements and three loops (D, anti-codon, and T loops). Further hydrogen bonds mediate the characteristic L-shaped molecular structure. tRNAs have two regions of fundamental functional importance: the anti-codon, which is responsible for specific mRNA codon recognition, and the 3' end, to which the tRNAs corresponding amino acid is attached (by aminoacyl-tRNA synthetases). tRNAs cope with the degeneracy of the genetic code in two manners: having more than one tRNA (with a specific anti-codon) for a particular amino acid; and 'wobble' base-pairing, i.e. permitting non-standard base-pairing at the 3rd anti-codon position. Lineage: Eukaryota; Metazoa; Chordata; Mammalia; Carnivora; Felidae. The record is from Rfam by way of RNAcentral.